GAAAAUUCAUCUUCGUAAUCAGACACAAUGAACUUAUCACUUCCAAGGGGAAUGUGCAGCUUUGCACCCUCAUCCGUAAUAAGUUUAUAAGUGGUAGAUUCCACAUCAUGGUUAGUGAUAGAACCUAAUUUCGGCAGGUGACCUCUCUGGAGAUCCUCCAGGUAAUGGCGCCAAAUUUCAGAGAAUCGUAACAAAUUUAUAAGUGGUAGAUUCUACAUCAUGGUUUGUGAUAGAACCUAAUUUCGGCAGGUGACCUCUCUGGAGAUCCUCCAGGUAUUGGUGCCAAAUUUCAGAGAACGGAGUCCACCACCCUUGAUCAUUCUCUGUGUUGGAAAACAUUGAGGACAGGGAUCUACUCUGGGAAUGGUUAAAAUCAUGGGCAGCUCCA
Molecule: long non-coding RNA, 388 nt
Filed under: Nicotiana benthamiana
Lineage: Eukaryota; Viridiplantae; Streptophyta; Magnoliopsida; Solanales; Solanaceae
Description: long non-coding RNA (NBEN_LNC034513)
Source: RNAcentral